This 448-nucleotide ribosomal RNA is filed under the name uncultured bacterium. Its description in RNAcentral is "SSU rRNA". It matches the Rfam family "Bacterial small subunit ribosomal RNA", at positions 26 to 518 of the family's 1533-position model. The record is from RNAcentral.
AGAGCGAACGCUGGCGGCAGGCUUAACACAUGCAAGUCGAGCGGGCGUAGCAAUACGUCAGCGGCAGACGGGUGAGUAACGCGUGGGAACGUACCUUUUGGUUCGGAACAACCCAGGGAAACUUGGGCUAAUACCGGAUAAGCCCUUACGGGGAAAGAUUUAUCGCCGAAAGAUCGGCCCGCGUCUGAUUAGCUAGUUGGUGAGGUAAUGGCUCACCAAGGCGACGAUCAGUAGCUGGUCUGAGAGGAUGAUCAGCCACAUUGGGACUGAGACACGGCCCAAACUCCUACGGGAGGCAGCAGUGGGGAAUAUGGACAAUGGGCGCAAGCCUGAUCCAGCCAUGCCGCGUGAGUGAUGAAGGCCCUAGGGUUGUAAAGCUCUUUUGUGCGGGAAGAUAAUGACGGUACCGCAAGAAUAACGCCCCGGCUAACUUCGCGCCAGCAGCCGC